Non-coding RNA from Ictidomys tridecemlineatus (thirteen-lined ground squirrel), 72 nucleotides. NCBI's taxonomy places the organism in Eukaryota, Metazoa, Chordata, Mammalia, Rodentia, Sciuridae. The record is from Rfam.
UGGGUUGUGGCUCAGCGGUACAGCGCUCGCCUUGCAUAUGAGAGACCCUGGGUUCGAUCCUCAGCACCACAU